Molecule: ribosomal RNA, 526 nt
Filed under: uncultured bacterium
Lineage: Bacteria
Description: bacterial SSU rRNA
Rfam family: Bacterial small subunit ribosomal RNA
Source: RNAcentral
AUGAACGCUGGCGGCGUGCUUAACACAUGCAAGUCGAACGAAGCACCUCUAAUCGAAGAUUGAGAAAGCUUGCUUUGAUUGAUUCACCUUGAGGUGACUGAGUGGCGGACGGGUGAGUAACGCGUGGGUAACCUACCCUAUACAGGGGGAUAACAGUUGGAAACGACUGCUAAUACCGCAUAAGCGCACAGGACCGCAUGGUCUAGUGUGAAAAACUCCGGUGGUAUAGGAUGGACCCGCGUCUGAUUAGCUAGUUGGUGAGGUAACGGCUCACCAAGGCGACGAUCAGUAGGGGUUCUGAGAGGAAGGUCCCCCACAUUGGAACUGAGACACGGUCCAAACUCCUACGGGAGGCAGCAGUGAGGAAUAUUGGUCAAUGGGCGCGAGCCUGAACCAGCCAAGUAGCGUGCAGGAUGACGGCCCUAUGGGUUGUAAACUGCUUUUAUGCGGGGAUAAAGUGACGUACGUGUACGUUUUUGUAGGUACCGCAUGAAUAAGGACCGGCUAAUUCCGUGCCAGCCGCUGC